This 88-nucleotide small RNA is filed under the name Streptococcus equi. RNAcentral's name for it is "RNA anti-toxin A". It matches the Rfam family "RNA anti-toxin A". The record is from RNAcentral. RNAcentral also lists the same sequence under 1 other name. Lineage: Bacteria; Bacillati; Bacillota; Bacilli; Lactobacillales; Streptococcaceae.
UAAUGAGAACAGAAAAAGGGCAGUUGCUCUAAACAACUACCCUAUGCAGAACCGUUUAAGACGGUGGCAUAUCUUUAAUUAUUAAAAA